Ailuropoda melanoleuca (giant panda) is the source of this 548-nucleotide long non-coding RNA. RefSeq lists it as uncharacterized. The record is from RefSeq and is a predicted model, not a curated record. The transcript is spliced from 3 exons. Lineage: Eukaryota; Metazoa; Chordata; Mammalia; Carnivora; Ursidae.
GAUGAGGGUAUAGGGGCUCUGGAGGGGUCACGCAUACAGUCCUUGAUUUGGGCUCACUGACACAUUCCUCUCCUUAAUUUUUCAGCAGACUAGGAGGCAAUCACACUCCUUGAUGAGGCGUAUUAGGUGCUGUAUGACAAGUAAGAUCUCAUCAUGCUGUAUAAUGCAAUCUGUAAUGAUGUCACACAACUUCAAGAGGACUUGAUGACCUGGAUGCAUCAACGGCCAGGACAGAUGCAGCUUGAGAACAAGUCAUCUGAGGAAGAGGAGAAGGAACUGGGGUGCCUGGUAAGGAAACAAGGUCUGAGAGCAGGAGGACAUAACUGCAGCUUCAACUGAAUAACUGGAGGAAACGGCGGAGCCCAUAAGACUGCCUGGCAAUGCUGCGUGUUAACAGAGCAUGGAAAUCCCGUGGCGAAUCACCCAGUGCUACUGACCUCUUGGGUGAAAGGUACGCUCAGGAGAUGGAGCCAAAAAGAAGAGCAUCCAAACUUACUCCUUGGAAUUGAUCACGAGAAGCUGGCCUGGUCUUCCAGGUAAAGAUGGUG